Andrographis paniculata is the source of this 281-nucleotide long non-coding RNA. RefSeq lists it as uncharacterized. The transcript has 3 exons. Lineage: Eukaryota; Viridiplantae; Streptophyta; Magnoliopsida; Lamiales; Acanthaceae. The record is from RefSeq and is a predicted model, not a curated record.
UGGAGUUCGAGCUCCAGGAUGGGGAGGACUGUGUUCAAACAGUGACAUCUUGCGGGGCUUCGAGAGCGACUUUGUUUAGUAUCCUUGAAAAUCAGUUUGCUCUCCGAUUGCUAGAUUGGGGAAAACCACUUUUGUGAUAAAGUACGGUGGAGAUGAAGAAGAAAAGAGAAAGUUGUAGAUGGAGAUUAGUCUAAUGGGAAGAUAUUAGAGCAACAAAGGAUAGCCGCGCCAAUGUGUUUUAUUCCACACCAAAUUUAUAUAAUGAUGCAAAGCAUGCUCUG